GGUCUCCAACGGACUCGAACCAGUUACCACCCGACUGAUAGACGGGCACCCAACCGAUUGAGCUAUCGGGAC
This is a non-coding RNA of Ancylostoma duodenale, 72 nucleotides long. Lineage: Eukaryota; Metazoa; Nematoda; Chromadorea; Rhabditida; Ancylostomatidae. The record is from the annotation of a GenBank genome assembly.